AUCUAUGGCCAUGCUACCCUGAACAAGCCUGAUCCCAUCUGAUCUCGAAAGUUAAUCAAGGUCGGGCCUGAUUAGUACUUGGAAGGAGAUCACCAAGGAAGAUCAGGUGCUGUAGGCA
RNAcentral lists this ribosomal RNA (118 nucleotides) under Pteropus alecto (black flying fox). The record is from RNAcentral. Lineage: Eukaryota; Metazoa; Chordata; Mammalia; Chiroptera; Pteropodidae.